This 380-nucleotide ribosomal RNA is filed under the name uncultured eukaryote. RNAcentral describes it as "SSU rRNA". It matches the Rfam family "Eukaryotic small subunit ribosomal RNA", at positions 587 to 972 of the family's 1831-position model. The record is from RNAcentral.
AGCUCCAAUAGCGUAUAUUAAAGUUGUUGCGGUUAAAAAGCUCGUAGUUGGAUUUCUGUGGUAGACAGUCGGUCCACACUAUGUGUGAGUAUCUGAUUUGGCUACUGCAUCCUCCUAAAGAACGUGGUGCGCUUCGCUGCGUGGCGCGGUAUUUAGGACUUUUACUUUGAGGAAAUUAGAGUGUUCACGGCAGGCGCUUGCCCUGAAUAUAUUAGCAUGGAAUAAUGAUAUAGGAUCUUGGUCCUAUUUUGUUGGUUUCUAGGACCAGGAUAAUGAUUAAUAGGGAUAGUUGGGGGCAUUCGUAUUAUGACGUCAGAGGUGGAAUUCUUGGAUUGUCAUACGACGAACUACUGCGAAAGCAUUUGCCAAGGAUGUUUUCA